This 492-nucleotide ribosomal RNA is filed under the name uncultured bacterium. RNAcentral's name for it is "partial 16S ribosomal RNA". It matches the Rfam family "Bacterial small subunit ribosomal RNA", at positions 29 to 507 of the family's 1533-position model. The record is from RNAcentral.
AGUGAACGCUGGCGGUAGGCCUAACACAUGCAAGUCGAACGGCAGCACAGUAAGAGCUUGCUCUUACGGGUGGCGAGUGGCGGACGGGUGAGGAAUACAUCGGAAUCUACUUUUUCGUGGGGGAUAACGUAGGGAAACUUACGCUAAUACCGCAUACGACCUACGGGUGAAAGCAGGGGAUCUUCGGACCUUGCGCGAUUGAAUGAGCCGAUGUCGGAUUAGCUAGUUGGCGGGGUAAAGGCCCACCAAGGCGACGAUCCGUAGCUGGUCUGAGAGGAUGAGGAGACAGACUGGAAAUGAGACAGGGGACAGACUCCUACGGGAGGCAGCAGUGGGGAGUAUUGGACAAUGGGCGCAAGCCUGAUCCAGCCAUACCGCGUGGGUGAAGAAGGCCUGCGGGUUGUAAAGCCGUUUUGGUGGGAAAGAAAAGAAGCAGGUUAAUACCCCGCUGUCCUGAAGGUACCCAAAGAAUAAGCACCGGCUAACUUCGUG